This 27-nucleotide ribosomal RNA is filed under the name Paramycosphaerella marksii. Its description in RNAcentral is "partial 18S ribosomal RNA". Lineage: Eukaryota; Fungi; Ascomycota; Dothideomycetes; Mycosphaerellales; Mycosphaerellaceae. The record is from RNAcentral.
AACAAGUCUCCGUAGGUGAACCUGCGG